AGAGUUUGAUCCUGGCUGAGAACGUACGCUGGCGGCACGCCUAACACAUGCAAGUCGAACGCAGUAGCAAUACUGAGUGGCAAACGGGUGAGUAUAAUGUGGGAAUCUGCCUUUUGGUCUGGAAUAACACGGGGAAACUUGUGCUAAUACCGGAUAAGCCCUUACGGGGAAAGUUUUAAUGCCGAAAGAUGAGCCUGCACUUGAUUAGCUAGUUGGUAAGGUAAAAGCUUACCAAGGCAACGAUCAAUAGCUGUUCUUAGAGGAAGACCAGCCACAUUGGGACUGAGACACGGCCCAGACUCCUACGGGAGGCAGCAGUGGGGAAUCUUGCACAAUGGGGGAAACCCUGAUGCAGCGAUGCCGCGUGAGUGAAGAAGGCCUUUGGGUUGUAAAACUCUUUCGUCGGGGAAGAAAAUGACUGUACCCGAAUAAGAAGGUCCGGCUAACUUCGUGCCAGCAGCCGCGGUAAUACGAAGGGACCUAGCGUAGUUCGGAAUUACUGGGCUUAAAGAGCUCGUAGGUGGUUAAAAAAGUUGAUGGUGAAAUCCCAAGGCUCAACCUUGGAACUGCCAUCAAAACUUUUUAGCUAGAGUGUGAUAGAGGUAAGUGGAAUUUCUAGUGUAGAGGUGAAAUUCGUAGAUAUUAGAAAGAACACCAAAUGCGAAAGCAACUUACUGGGUCACUACUGACAC
RNAcentral lists this ribosomal RNA (692 nucleotides) under uncultured bacterium. Its description in RNAcentral is "bacterial SSU rRNA". It matches the Rfam family "Bacterial small subunit ribosomal RNA", at positions 8 to 746 of the family's 1533-position model. The record is from RNAcentral.